GGUGGUUCUUGGGUGAUACACCCUGGAAUCAUAUUCCUUCCUCUCUGGUUCCGGGUGCAUCAUCCAAGAACUACA
Myotis davidii is the source of this 75-nucleotide non-coding RNA. NCBI's taxonomy places the organism in Eukaryota, Metazoa, Chordata, Mammalia, Chiroptera, Vespertilionidae. The record is from Rfam.